UGUGCUUCGGAUAAGAAUUAGGCGUUUGUAUUCUUGUAGGCUUUAUGUCAAGCAUGUGGUGGGUGCUUCUACUUUCGGGGGUGGGGGGGGGAAGAAACCAUCCUGUAUAGGGGACUGGAUUCUGAUGAGCUCAUGUUAGACUAAACCUCUUUCUGCUUUGCAAACAUGUCUCUGUAUUCGUUAUCACUGCAUGCAGUUCUUGAAUUGAGAUUCACCUCCUUGCUUAUGAACAUUCACCUGUUCAUUGGAUUUGGGCAGAACACUUUUGUUUUUUUUAAUCAGAGUACCCCUGGCAUGCUCUUUUCAUCCAUUCGUCGUCGAAUUCCAACAUAUCAACUUUGUUUGUGGCAUGUAUUUUUGGUGAGGAAAGCAUCUCAUGCUAGGUGUUGAGUGAUUAAUCAUAUGCCAACCAAGAUAUCUAGUGCAAUUUGUGGAUUAGGUUUCUCAGUUUAGAUCCUCUAGGGAUUCCAUUCCAAGUUGUAAAAUAUUCUGCUGUGGGUUCAGCGGUUCAAAGGUGGUCUUUGAGCUUGUCCUUCCAUGUCAAUAGAGCUGACUGCAUAGCAGGGUUCUCAAAGUACAACAUUGUGCCGUAAGAGUUCUCAAAGCACAGCAGUUCAGUGUUGCUUUACCUCGUCUUACUUUUUGUUAAGGAUUCCUCUCGAGGACAUCAAGAAUCAGCAGGAUAUCUGCACCUGAAGCUGCUUGAUUAUGUUGGAACUCAAUAAUGUAUAAUCUAAUAGUGGUUGUAUCGAGAAAACAUGCCCAUUUGGAUUUCUGGCCUCCCAUCUUUUGGUGCAUUCUUUAUCCUUCUUCGAAGCAAACUUCAAACAGGCUCGACACAAGAGCUUAUGGAUGCAUUUUGAUGCAAGAGUGGAGUGCCAUUAGUUCAUAAGCAUGACACUGUGAAAAUAUGCUUUGUGACCUUUUUCUCUACGAGGGCUAACUAAAUUUUCCUCCCGAGAUUGAUUAUUUGUGUGAUUGGGGCUGGUCCUGUUUGCCAAAUACAAAACUAUUUGCACCAAAGGAGGUCCAAGAAAAAAUGUCAUGGAGCUGCUGUUGAUCUCUGUUCUGAGUAGCUUGGUAGAUUAGCUUUUCGGACACAUCUUGGUGCUGCCAUUUCCAGGUGUUUUUCUUGGCUUUCUUACAUGUCCAAGUGUUGAAUUGACUGAUAAUAUGCAUCGCCAGUUGCAGGAUGAACCAUGCAUGUCACUUGAUUACUCUGUGCAAAAGAGCCUCGGCUGUUGGAAUGGAAUGGGUUCCAGUAAGGACUAGUACUUGAAUGGAUGGUCGAACAAAGGUAAAGAUCUGCUGGUGCAUGUGCUUCUCAUUUUUGAUGUUGAACUGUUGCAAGAGACAGAGUGGAAAGAUGCAUGCACACAACUAUGUUGCAAUAGGGAGAUGUAGCUGAUGGUAAGCAGCAGCAGUUGACAUUCGAGUAGAAUGUCAAGCAAAGCAAUUUAUACGUAGACCGACACAGGUCUCAUGGCAAUCAUUGGCACGUUAGAUCAAACUCAGCAUUGAUGUGUUCUUGCCACCAAAACCCGGUCCUGUUGUUGAUGCCACUCAUCAUGUUUGUUGAUGCCUCUCUCGACUGUUGAUGGAAAAAUUUGUGGGAUCCAACACAAAUCUGAUGUAUACUUUUUCUUUUAUUUAUACCCUGUUUGCAUCCAUGGUUCUCUGCAAGAAACUUUAGCCGGUCUACUGCUUACUGUUUGUUCGAUCGAGUUCAUUUUAGACUGCCCCUAAAACAUUGUUCUGAUAUAUUUACUUUUUUAUUUGUAUCAUAUUUAAAUCGACAGUUCAGUGUAGAAAACUUUGGCCAGCCUAC
Musa acuminata AAA Group (dessert banana) is the source of this 1828-nucleotide long non-coding RNA. RefSeq lists it as uncharacterized. The transcript is spliced from 3 exons. The record is from RefSeq and is a predicted model, not a curated record. Lineage: Eukaryota; Viridiplantae; Streptophyta; Magnoliopsida; Zingiberales; Musaceae.